RNAcentral lists this non-coding RNA (78 nucleotides) under Candidatus Muproteobacteria. RNAcentral describes it as "SAH sequence". It matches the Rfam family "SAH (S-adenosyl-L-homocysteine) riboswitch aptamer". Lineage: Bacteria; Pseudomonadati; Pseudomonadota. The record is from RNAcentral.
CUCUCCGAGGAGCGUUGCGACAGGGAUGCCCUGCCAGGCUCGGACAGAACGUCAGUCAAACAACGGCGCUCCAAUCAU